UACGUAUGGUGCAAGCGUUAUCCGGAUUUACUGGGCGUAAAGGGAGCGCAGGCGGUGCGCCAAGUCUGAUGUGAAACCCCGGGGCUCAACCCCGGGCGUGCAUUGGAAACUGGCGGGCUGGAGUGCCGGAGAGGUAAGCGGAAUUCCUAGUGUAGCGGUGAAAUGCGUAGAUAUUAGGAGGAACACCAGUGGCGAAGGCGGCUUACUGGACGGCAACUGACGCUGAGGCUCGAAAGCGUGGGGAGCAAACAGG
RNAcentral lists this ribosomal RNA (253 nucleotides) under uncultured bacterium. RNAcentral describes it as "partial 16S ribosomal RNA". It matches the Rfam family "Bacterial small subunit ribosomal RNA", at positions 524 to 776 of the family's 1533-position model. The record is from RNAcentral.